GGCCCUACGGGGCGCAGCAGGCGCGAAAACUUCGCAAUAAGCGAAAACUUGACGAGGCUAUCCCGAGUGCCAUCCGCUGAGGAUGGCUUUUCCCUAGUAUAGAUAGCUGGGGGAAUAAGGAGAGGGCAAGUCUGGUGUCAGCCGCCGCGGUAAUACCAGCUCUCCGAGUGGUGGGGACGAUUAUUGGGCCUAAAGCAUCCGUAGCCGGCUGGGCAAGUCCCUCUGUUAAACCCAACGAUCUAAUCGUUGGUCUGCGGGGGAUACUGCUCGGCUAGGGGGCGAGAGAGGCCGUCGGUAUUCCCGGGGUAGGGGUGAAAUCCUAUAAUCCCGGGAGGACCACCAGUGGCGAAGGCUGCCGGCUAGAACGCGCUCGACGGUAAGGGAUGAAAGCUGGGGGAGCGAACCGGAUUAGAUACCCGGGUAGUCCCAGCUGUAAACGAUGCAGGCUAGGUGUUAGGGCGGCCACGUGCCGCUCUAGUGCCGCAGGGAAGCUGUUAAGCC
Molecule: ribosomal RNA, 501 nt
Filed under: uncultured crenarchaeote
Lineage: Archaea; Thermoproteati; Thermoproteota
Description: bacterial SSU rRNA
Rfam family: Archaeal small subunit ribosomal RNA
Source: RNAcentral